This is a long non-coding RNA of Bombus terrestris (buff-tailed bumblebee), 9507 nucleotides long. RefSeq lists it as uncharacterized. NCBI's taxonomy places the organism in Eukaryota, Metazoa, Arthropoda, Insecta, Hymenoptera, Apidae. The transcript is spliced from 2 exons. The record is from RefSeq and is a predicted model, not a curated record.
UUGCUCCUGUUACCGCUGUUAUUAUUAUUAUUAUUAUUAUUAUUAUUAUUAUUAUUAUUAUUAUUAUUAUUAUUAACACUUAACGCUAACAUUUGUAUUUGUAUCACAGAGAAUGCACGCGGAUACACACAUACACAAAGGAAGAACGCGUACACAUACAAAGAAAACAAACACGUACGAUCGAUCGAUCGCGAAAAGGUAUAGUUGUCGUUGGAUGAUAUGGUUGUCUCGAUUUGAAAUUUUACCUUCGAGUUUUGCGGACGAAAAUACAUAUAUCUCCGCGGUGGAACUAUUAAAACGCGGUUGGUGAAAUUGAAAUAAAAUUAAGUACGGUCGAUAUAAUUUAUAGUUGGUCUCUAAUCGACAAUAGUUAGCGUUCGGAGUUGUUUCAAGUUUAAUAUUAGGCCGCAGCUAGCCAUUUUUGAUUGGAGUAACAUAUCCGGAAUAAGUAUGGUUGAGAAAAUGUACAACUAUAGUUAAUCAUUAAUUAUAGUUACUCUAAAUCGAGCGUGAAAUAUAGUUGAGCGCAUAUAAUUCGAUUUAAGUGACAAAUUUUUUGAAUAAGUGGUUUAUUGAGAAGAUACGUAACUAUAGUUAACUAUUAACUAUCGUUAGACAGCCGUAUCUCGGGUAUGAAUUAUAGUUAAACAUACAUAAUUGAAUUUAGUGCGAAAUUUUCUAUCUGCAAUAAGAAAUUUAGGAAAAUGUGCAACUAUAUUUAACUAUUAACUAUAGUUACUUGGAGCGUGAACUAUAGUUGGGCGCGUGUAAUUCGAUUUAAAAGACAAUUUUUUGGUAUAUGCGAUUUAUCGAAAAGACACGUAACUAUAGUUAACUGUUAACCAUAAUUACGGUGCUCUAAAUCGGGUGCAAAGUAUAGUUGAGCGCAUAUAAUUCGAUUUAACAGGAAAUUCUCUGCGUAGUCGCGUCAUAAUUUCAUUAAAUAAAUCGAAUCGCGUUAUAUAGAUGCAAGUAUAGUCGUUUCCUCGUAGUUCGAACAUUUCCAUCAACUAUACUAAUCGUUAUUGUUCGUGUGUAUGUGAUAUUUUUACCGUCGAGAGACGUUUGCGAUCGGUUAACGUUUGAUUUCGAACCGCGUAAUCGAUAUUCGACGAUGAUUAACUAUAGUUAAGAACUACUAUACUAACGACUAUAUACCAUCGAUCAUCGUGAGCCUUGAAAAAGUAUAAAAUAUUUCGUCGUCGAGAACCGAAACGGAUUUCACGACUAUUGAAGCAAGUAUAUGCUGCCAUUACCAACUAUAUUAGAAAUUUUACGACAACUAUACUAGCUUUUACAAAAUCGAGCUACGAGCACAUGCGUUUUUUCUUAGCUUGUAAAUUCGUCUCUUGACUCGAAUCUACGUUUUACUAGUCGUAAGAGAGAAAAGAAAGAAAACAAAUUUUUAGUCCUCUCAACUAUAUAACUGUAUCAACUCGAACUCGAUCGAUCGUGCUUCACACGAUGUUCAAAGCUGCGUGCGCUUGUUCGAUAAAAACAUACGAAGAGCAAAUCUCAAGCGCGUCUCGUAUCUUCUACUAGCAACUAUGUAACGAUAAUUACUAUACAUACUAAUCGUAACGUAACGAAAUUAUUGUUAAACCGAGGAUUCGGGGUGAGAUGGUAAAAAUUAAGUCGAGAGCAAGGAUGGACACGUAGGAUUUUGGCUAUCCAAUUUUUUUAUCAUUUUUUCUACUUUUCUUUUCAUUUUUUUUUUUUUCACUUCUUAUUUUCCUUUUUAAGUAGGUGUAAGCGCGUGCAUCGAAACGAAACGCGAGAAAAAGGAAGCCAUGGCCUGUUAGACACUCGACCGUGUCGGCCAUAUUGGAUUGCGAGACUUUAACGAAUUGGUGCUUUGGAAUGUAUUAGACUGAAAAAAAUUAUUGUUGUACGUUUUAGUAGAAAACGAUAAAAGAAAAAACAAAUCGCAUACUAACGAAGAAAACGAGAAGAACAAACUUGACAGGAGUUCUUUUGCUCCGUAUUCGAUUAAUAAUUAGUGAAAUAUUAUUUCUAUUUGGAGCGUUUUAUAUAUAUACAAUAUAUUAUAUAUUCGCUAGGUUGCACACAGACAAAUACAGACAUGCUUACACACACACACAUACACACAUAUACACAGACACAUACACAGACACACAUUUACACGGUAUUUUGCGUACAGUGAUGGGAAUCAAAUCGCCAUUGUGAUCGGACAGUUGUUUGUAAGAAAGCUAAUUUAAGAAAUUAUCGAUAACAUCGAUGAUGUCGCUGAUAAAGGCGCCAUUUUAAAAUGGCGGACAUCUUCAUAUCGGUAAAAGAGGGAUAAGAGUAAAAAUUAAAUUAAAAUUAAUGAUCGAAUUUGCAGGGGCACUCUGCGUAAACAUUUGUGAUUCUAGUAGGUUAGAUUUGUUAAAUUCGAUUGUAUUUCGAAAUUCUUUUUAGAGGCGUAUUCGCGUUGAAGGAAAAUAUUUCUCGCGGCGUUGUUCCUCAUUUUCGACGCUCGAAGCGUUCCCGCGACAUGUUCGAACGAUUUGCGUGGAACAACUUUCGAAUUUGCUUAGAGUCGACGGUUUCUUAAUCUCGAAAUUUUCGUGUUUUCGGCUGUAGGAAUUUUUUUAAUGGGACACCCGAGCCAAGAAAAGAUUAUGUACAUAAAAAGAAAGAGGGAUUUCGGUAGACGAGUGUCCUUGAAAAUUGUUCGAGGUUAGGACCGCCGAUUGGUGCAAAGCUUUUCCACGUCGUUGCAAUUUUUUGGCGUUAUUCGUGGAACGUGAUAGCAAUUACAAAAUUAUUAAUUAACCUUCAACGGUCCACUGGUAAAAUUUUAGUAGGCGAAUUUUCGAUUAGUCGAAUUUUUAUCGAGUUACGAAUUUGUUCGUUUGUGAUUAAAGAAAAGAGAGUUGUAAAAGAGGGAAAAAUCAUUUUCGAGGCGGAUAUGUUCGCGUUGCGAUUCCCAACACUAACCUCACACGUGUGUAUACAACAUAUAAACGCGCGCGCGCGAGCGCGCGAAAUUAACAAAAAUGGCAAGCGAUACUUUGUAUGUACAACAAUUAGCAGUUCUGUUCGAACGGAACUGAGCGUGGACGAGUGUAUGUAUGCGUGUAUGCGUGUGUAGAGAGUGGUUGAGAUUGGACGAUAGGAGAGAAAGGGACUCGGUGUGCACUCCGCCCAGAAUGAACGGGAGGAAAAAGAAAAACAACGUGGAAGAUGAAAUAUAAUGGAAAAACUACUUCGUCGCGCAGGUGCAGGGAGAUUUUUUGUGAAUUGGCAAUGCGGCGGUGCGGUUCGUCUUAAUGCGCCCGUGUGCAUUUAAUAGAAGUUACAUGACGUAGAUAUUUGAUAGGCAUGCGCGAACAACGUCCCAGUCUAUCUGAUUUCGCAAAUUUGAAAAUUUGGGAGAACGAGAAAUCAGGGACUUAAAGAUUUGAAAGAAAUACGUGAAGAUUAAAUUCCCUAGAUACAUUAUAGGUAACUAAUGGAAUUACAGAAUAAUUUGUAUGCUAUUGAAAAUGUUUGAAAUUGUGGGGAAAUUUGUAACUUUCAUAUAAUUGCAAAACGGAGAACCACAAAUUAAAAAAAUUGUAGAAUUAAAAAAUUCCAAGAUCGCAAAUUCCUAAAAUUGUGAAGAUGCAAAAUUAUGAAGUUACAACAUUUCAAAAAUUGCCAAGCAAUUCUGUAAUUUCGUAACAUUGCUUUUAAAAAUCCCGGGAUUGAUAACUGAAACUUACCUAUAAAAGUAGUUGCAACUAUAUGGACUGUGGCGCCAGGAAGCCUCUUCGAAUAUCCGAAGAAUGUAACGCCCAAAAUUUCCAAAAUACGAGAAAAAGAAACAAGGUUAAAAGAUAGAAAUUCUUCGAUAGAAGAGUAAUUUUCCAGGAACAAUUCGGAUAUUCUUAACGAAGCUGGAUUCCCCCAUGUUCGCGCUUGUCUAGUAAUUUACGCGUUCUCCGCAAUGGACAUGGUGGAGCCACAUGUACAUCAACAAUAUUAUAUUCUAACGAUUACUAAUUAAAUAAUGUACAAUAAUUUUAACGAUUGCUAAAUGAUGAUGAAUAACGAUGAUAAUGAUGUCGAUGAAGUCUUUAAGCAUAUAAUACAGUGUUGCACGAUGAAAAUGAUGGGAAAAAACAUAUGAAAGAUAGCAAAUGAAAAGAAUGAGAGUGAAUGAGAGUGAGAGGCGACGAGGAAACGCGAAUCCUGAAUGUAUAGUUACAAAAAUCGAGCGACAGAUGUUAAAGACGAAACCGGACGGGAGGAGCUACGAGAUAAUGUAUCUGUCUUUUAAAAAUCGAUGUGUAUUUUUUGCGAGGAAACGAGGCGAGAAAUAUAUUGGAGAAAGAACCGAAGACCGUUGUUGCCAGUUUGUGUUCCACGGGGCUGACUCCUUUUUCGAGUUAGUUGGUAUCCCUGACGUUUAAAUUUCUUAAUAAUUCGAAAAAUUAUCCGAAAAAACUAAAAAGAUUUAUGGAAAUUUAUUUUAGUUUUGUAUAACUCUCUUAGCUUCUUUUUUUAUUGAAGGUUUACAAGUAUCGUGCAAUUUUAACUUUAUUUUUGGGUAUUCUCCGAAACUACUAUAGGAUUACAAAAUUACUGAAAUUAUCUUUUUGCGAAGAAAUUAUUUGAUUUUGCUAUUUGAUUUCUAGGAAACCAAAAGGAAAUUUGUUACUGUUUUAUUUGAGAUAAGUUAUUUUAAAGGAAUGAAAUAAAUGCCACGAGAUCAACUCAAAUAAACUUCCAUCUUUUGAGCAAUAGUUAAUAUCGAAAGUGCCCCCUAAGCAAUGAUUCGAGAAAGAAUGGCUGAGAACCACUGGCAACGCGCGGUUGCCAAGUUGCGCCGCGCGAACAACGCUGUUAUCAAGUAAGUGCGAUAAUUCUGUCGGUUCCCUUAAAAAAUAAACAACAAUCAUAUAACAGAGAAAUAUAAAAGUAUUAAAUCGCGAAAUUAGAAGAGGAAAUUACUCAAGGUUCAUUGCAAUUUACAAAAUACCAAAAGGUUUAAGUAAAGAAAGUAAAAAAAAACACCUUCCGAAAAUAACUUUGGAAUCAUUCGGAUAUAAACCGGUGUGAAUAACAACUCUGUCAUAGUGGUAUUCUAUCACAAUUCAAUCGUCAGAAUUUUUGCACUUGCCCAAGAUUUAAGAAUAGAAAGAAUCCAGAAUUUUAUGAAGAAAACUCUGAAGAUCUCAGAAGAUCUCCGUUUUAUUCUGAACUCGAAGUGUCCCAAAACGAACGACUAAAUGGAAAACAGCUUUUAUUCAAAAAGGUAUGUAGCUAGCUACGUACAAAAUAUAUACAAAAAUUACGAGUCAAUGUUUUUGGGACGUUCUCGAAUUCUAUAUAGUAGGAAUUAAAAACGUGCAAUUACGUCACGUUAUACGUGUAAGAACAAACUUUUCUUGCGAUGUUUAAUGAAAAACACGCAAGUUCGAUCUUCGAGUGGUACAAAGUUCGAGUGCACCGAUUUUUUGAGAAAAUGGCAAAUUUUGUUUAAGGUUUGCUUGUUUCACAAAUUUCAUUUAUUAUAUGCAAUACUGUGAGAGUCAUAACGAACGAGAAGAAUGUCCCUCUUUAUUUCUGAUUUUGAGGGAAAUCUGCCAUCUUUUCUGAAACGUUAAUUUUUUCAACUUGGAUUUCAAAAAUACACAAUCUCCAAAUCCAAUAGAACACAAAUCUUAAAUUUCUUUAAGAAACAAAUCUCGAGAGAUUUUAAAGAAACUUCGAUAAAAGGAGUUCAAGUUUUAAAAAGAUGGAACUUUAAAAGGAAGCCUUUCGUCAGUUUUGACCAAGCAUACAAUAAUUUUACAAAAUCGUCCCGGAAGAGCGAUUUCAAAACGAACGUGCCCCACAUCCAGUACAACAAUAGAGAACAGAGAUAAGGAAAGAGGGCGCCGCAUGAUUUCCACGUUGAAUUCUAACCUAAAAAACUGCACCAACAACAAAGUCUAUUGAAUCGUUAAAGUAUAUUUAUUUUUCCUGGAAAAAGAAAGAUCCAAGAAACGUUCAAAGUUUAUUUUAAUAACAGAGAGAAGGAGCGCUAGAGAAAAGAAGACGAAGCUAUUUAUUUUUCUUACACAGUAUUGCAAAGCCUUUUCAUGGGGGAAAGAGAAGCGAUGGGGGGAGCGUUACAUAUGGCGGACGACGAGGGGCAACAAUUUUAUAAUCGAUGAUUUCUCAGACGAUUGGCGAUACGAAGUGGCGAAUGGCGAUAGAAAUGCGUUUAUUAUGUAAGAAUAAGAAGGCAGGAAUAAACAUAAACGUAGAAUGCGUGGUGUGCGAGUGAGAAGGAGAGAGACAGAGAAAAUCACAGAAGCCAUAGAGUUCAAAGAGAGUGCAUUGUGUACAUAUAAAAGAAGCAGGGACGAAGAAUCGCGAGACGAGCCGUGAAAUACAGAGGGUAACCGAACGACACCUUUGUAAAUUAGCUUUGUACAUUGUAUCCCCACCUCCCUUGUUUCUUUGUUUCAUUGUUGCUGCAUAAACCAUGGAGGAUGUCUGCUCACGUUGAAUCCCUUAUACAGGGUGAUGCAAAAAUCUUUAUACGUAGGAAACAUUUUUCUGACAGUGAAAAUUAUAAAGAAGAGAAUGUUCGAUAUACAAAUCAAUACAAAUAGAAAAAUUAUAAUAGUAAUAUCGUGCGUGUGCAGACCUUUGCGUCACAUUGUAUACUUCGUAUUUAACUCACAUUCGUCCCUCAUUUUCCUAAAAUAAUAUUUUCAAUUAAUUUAUUGGUGUCAACUUGAGUUCAGAUAAAUAGUUACAAAUUGGAAAAUUCUAUUACUGUAACAAUGGAAUUUUUGAAAAUUUAGACCGUGUUAAUUUGACAGAAAUAAUAGAAAUGCCCCGAUAGUGAAAAGAUGAGUAAUUAUAAGCUGUAAAAUUCCUUGAUCAGAAAUGAAAGGAACAAAGCUUUCGUAAAUUGACACAAGGGACGAAUGGAUGUUAACAAUUUCCAUUUAAGCAAAAAACUCGCAGGCAGAGGUAUAAGUAAACAUGAAUAUCCUUUUUAACAGAAAGAAAACAAAAAAGAAAUAGUUCACCUAAUUUUAAAGUCUUAAUAAAAAUUAUUUCUCCAUUAGUUUCUUUAGAGGUUAGAUUCUAUUGAGACGCCAUGUUUGCUCGCCAUCUUAAUUUUCUCAUAUUACUCACAUCCGUAGCGUUUAAAGAUAUAUUAAAUAUGGACAGAAAAAAGAUACGAGAAGUAGACGAAGAACUAAAAUUGCUGGCAAUUUCAAGGAUUUUAUCAAUCGUAAAUAUAUUUUAUUACUUGUACAUUUCCGUGAAAUGACAAAUCGAAAUAUGAAUACGAAACAGGACGACGGAUUUACUUUGGUACUUAUUUCGCGAAAGAUAAAAAAUAAAAGUAUCGUCUAUUGUCGACGGUUUCCAUCUCGUGACUCUGUUAUGUAUAUAAAUAUACAUAUUGCAUAUAUACAUACAUACGUACGUACAUACAUGUAUAUAAACAUAUAUAUUUUUCUGGGGUAAAGAGGGAGAAAGAGAAAAAAAGAAAAUGGGGAAAAAAGAAUAAUAACUGCAAAGACGUAUCCGACCUCGUGGACGCAAUAAAAAAAUUUCACUAUAAAUCGAUUAUGCAUGGGCAUCAGGGUGUAGAUUAAUAGGAGAAAGCGAGAGAGAAAAAUGUAAAGAGAUGACUAUUUUUUUGAGAAAAACAUUAUAAUAGAGAAAAACGAGAGCUUCAACGGGAAGCAAAUUGGGAAUUUCAAUUUUAUUCUUUAGUUUCUAAUGUUUAUUUAACAAGAUAUUCUGCCUGUGAGUUGAAAUCAAAUUCGAGAAAGCCUGAAAGAAAAACAAUUUUUCAUGAAUUAUAUAUGUUCCCUGAUUGAACAAUGAAUUGUUUUGCACUAAUUAUACGUAUACUCAUAAUUGCAAGAUAUAGAACUAUAUAUGAUUCGUGAAGUUGAUAAUGGCGCGAAAUUUGAAUGCUAAUUUCAAUAAAACUUUAGAUUUCAAUGAAGAUAUUGAAAUAAACUUGACAAAUAUUAAAAGAGACACGAAAUUUUCGCUAAAACAACGUGUGAGAUAAAUUACAGCGCCAAAGUUAAAUUUCUUUCAUCAGAAAAUGUAUUUUCUUCCUCAAUAUAUCAGAACGAAAAAGUCUUUCUUGAAUUAAAUAAUAAUGAUGGUUUGAAAAUGAAUGUAAAGGAGGGAAAACGUGUACAUAUCUCCUCCAGGUAUAAUCGUUAUACGAAAAAUAAAGAAAAUAAAGAAAUCACCCGUUGCAUGUACAUAGACCGGAAGACCGCAGGUAGCCAUAUUGUUAUUCGCGAUUAAUUGGAUGACUUGAUCGAGUCGACUGAUGUUCUUUCUCUUCUUUACUUUCUCUCACUGAACACACACUGGGCGUCCAAAUAAUUCCGAAAAUAUUAAAAAAUUGGAAAAUAUUCUUUCGCAUUUUGUAUAUUAAUUUAUUUCUCUUCCGAAUAAUUCUUAAUUUUAAAUAUAUUAUAUAUACAUAUAUUCGAAUGAAAUUCGAAAAUUAUAUAUAUAUAUAUAGAUAUAAUAUAUUUCCUCGUGUAAAAUAUAUAAUUUAGAAAUUGUAUUUUCAUUGUUAUUAAUUCAUUAUUUUAAUCGGUACCGAUACACUAUUACAAAUACCGAUAUUUUCUUUUUCUUGUUGUAUCUAGCAAGCAACAGUGUGCUAGGAAUAAUUUCUCUCCCUUUCCUUUUUAUUAAUUAAAUUAUAUUAUAUGUACAGAUCUCUAAUUUGGAUUAAAGAAUUCUUGUAAAUUAAGAGAAGUAGUAAAUGAUAGAAAAACGACUCUACGGUGAGCGUCGCUGUGAGUCUGACCGGAAGUGAGAGAAAGAGAAAGAGGGAGAGCCCUCUGUCUGUUGUAUAUUAUUUUUAUUUCCACCUUUUUUACAUGAAACAAAGCGAGAUCGGUAUUGACCGUGCUAUGUAUGGAUGAUAUGUUCCAAUAUAGAAUAAAUCUUUCAACAAAUACUCGGUUAUUAUUAAAUUCCUCUCAUUUUGUGAAUUUUAGUAACAGAGACAAUAUGUAUAGGAAUCAUAGUCAAUUAAUAAAUUUCAUUGUUUGACUAAAAUGCGGAAUUUACUAGUUUUCAGUAUUAUAUCUGACCUGCAGUAAUUAGAACGAGAAAUUUGAAGAGGAGUGGUGGGGAUGAUCGAGAAUGAUCGAGAAACUUCGCACGCUAUCAAUUUCAUCGAAGUCUUCGCCAUAGAUGGAUGACUUUGGAAGAAGUUUCUGGAUAUUUCCCAGAUAUUAAAUGAAAUGCACAGAGCAGUUCCAUUGGAAACAACAUCGAAUUUUCAUCGAUCCUAACACGUGUAAACUAAAAAAUUGCAAAUAUGCGAAAUUUCAAUGAAUUAUUUAAGUUACAUUGAUUGUUAAUUCAUUAGUUAUUUAAGGGUACUUUGUACACUGCGGUACAAUUAAGCAUAUUCUAUGUUACUGAAGCUUCAAAUAUAGAAAGCUGUACAUUCAUCGUGUAAAUUGUAUGUAUAUUGAUAAAAUGAUUUCAGUAAAUCAGCAAUAAAUUGAAAAA